CCUGGGUUCUGAUGAAGACCACGUUGUUGGCACCGCUCUCCACCGACUGGAACCGCCGCAGCUUCUGCUCCGUCGAGGCACGGAUCUGGCCAACCUCCUUCUUCAGGGCCGCCUCAACGUCGUCCUCAUCCUCCUCCCUGUCGCUUCCAGACAGCCUCUCCUCGUGAUCUGAAAACUUCACACAGUCUGUCGACGGACAGUUGCUGAAGGGGAGCGAGCAGCCCUCAGUCCUGCACUGCAACGCCACAUCCAACACCGACCCCUGCGCCCCUGGCUGGCGGAGUCCUGGAAGUGUCACAGUGUAGAGGGACCAGCUAAAAACAGAAGCUUUUUGAACAGGACAACAGAAAAAUGCUUUGCCAUGAUUUGGGCCAGCAUUUGACACACAGAGUUUUUUGGCUCUUCGACCGCAGUUGCACAGAGGGGGAGUUGGUUUUCCACUUCUCACAGCUCUUACAUGUGGAUUCAAGUUGACUGUGGAGUUGAGAAUGGCAGGAGACACUUUGGGCAAAUUUGAACUUCUCAAAAGUAAGGAAUGAUCAAAAGAUGGAGUCUUCUCUUGAUAUAUAGCAAAAGACUGUUUUUUUGCUGGUGGGAAUGUUUUUGGACUAGUUGGCUUUCUUUUAGGAACCUCUGAAGAAGUAGAGUAAUUUCCAGUUAGUGCUGAAAUGGUAUUUCCCUUUGCAAAUGGUAACUUAAAAGCUGAAAAAUUUGAAGUCUGCCUUUGCACUGUUCCUACAUUAUAGAUUGUAGUAUCAGGACUUUUGUAAAUGACAGGUUUCAGAGGUUCCAUGGAUACUGCACUUUUCUCCAAACUCUGAUUAUCUGAACUUGCCACAGCCAAUUCUUUUGAAAUUGUUUUUUCUUCAAACACUGUUAAACUAUCUGUACUCGAGUCAUCCUUGAGCUGAACAGAGUCUGACUUUUGUUCAUAUUGAGAUUCUGGUAUUAAAGCAACAUCUUCCCAGUCUGUCAGCAGAGACAAGCAGUCAGCACUGGUACUGAUCUCCUCACUGGAGACAGUAACUGAGGGGAUGGUAGUGGAG
Pipra filicauda (Wire-tailed manakin) is the source of this 1046-nucleotide long non-coding RNA. RefSeq lists it as uncharacterized. The transcript has 3 exons. Lineage: Eukaryota; Metazoa; Chordata; Aves; Passeriformes; Pipridae. The record is from RefSeq and is a predicted model, not a curated record.